UUUACUUCCUCCAUGUAAACACUGCGCCGCUCGCUGCGCCUUUUACGCGCUUUUAAGACUCUUUAAAGUUUGUGCGGACCGAGUCCAGCUGUUAACAUCUGUCAGCAUCUGUCCACAGCUGUCCGCAGGCUCACUCUACCCUCCCGCGGCUUUAAUUAGUCGGCGCGUGAUGUUAACCGCGGCUGCUUAAUUACCCGGAGCAGCUCCGAGCGUCACUUUGGAGGAGUUCCCGGAGCACCGGGGCCUCCGCGGGAGAUUUACAGCCGAGAUCGAGCCCUGACACGCGGCCGUUAAUCACCAGCCCCGCUGCUCCCGGAGGGUGAGGGAGUGAGUGAGCCGCAGGACUCUGGCGCCUCACACUAGACGCGGACACUCCUGGUUCUGGGUCCGCCCACCGGCACAUCCAGCUGGACAGCCCCGACCGGACUCACACCUCUCACCCCCGGAGGACCUGCUGCCAAUGGCAACUUUCAUCUCCGCCCUCGUCUUCCUCUUCACCGUGAUGGGCGGGACUUCCCCUGCUGUCAGUCAGUCCAGCGCUCCAACAGAGCCCAUGUGCUACGACUGGGCGAGUCCAGCGUGGGGCGGUCUCUGUCGUGGAGGGCGAGGUCGGUUGGCUCUCCUGUCCUCUUUUCUCUCAUCC
This is a long non-coding RNA of Oreochromis aureus, 643 nucleotides long. RefSeq lists it as uncharacterized. The record is from RefSeq and is a predicted model, not a curated record. The transcript is spliced from 3 exons. NCBI's taxonomy places the organism in Eukaryota, Metazoa, Chordata, Actinopteri, Cichliformes, Cichlidae.